RNAcentral lists this ribosomal RNA (637 nucleotides) under uncultured cyanobacterium. RNAcentral's name for it is "bacterial SSU rRNA". It matches the Rfam family "Bacterial small subunit ribosomal RNA", at positions 93 to 759 of the family's 1533-position model. Lineage: Bacteria; Bacillati; Cyanobacteriota. The record is from RNAcentral.
GAGUGGCGGACGGGUGAGUAACACGUGAGAAUUCGCCUUUAGGCGGGGAAUAACCAUCGGAAACAAUGGCUAAUGCCCCAUAUGCUCGUAAGAGUGAAAGGAGUAAUCCACCCAAAGAGAAGCUCGCGGCUGAUUAGCUAGUUGGUAAGGUAAUGGCUUACCAAGGCGACGAUCAGUAGCUGGUUUGAGAGAACGAUCAGCCACACUGGAACUGAGACACGGUCCAGACUCCUACGGGAGGCAGCAGUGGGGAAUUUUCCGCAAUGGGCGAAAGCCUGACGGAGCAAUACCGCGUGAGGGAUGAAGGCCUUUGGGUUGUAAACCUCUUUUAUCAAGGAGGAAGUUCUGACGUGUACUUGAUGAAUAAGCAUCGGCUAACUCCGUGCCAGCAGCCGCGGUAAGACGGAGGAUGCAAGUGUUAUCCGGAAUCACUGGGCGUAAAGCGUCUGUAGGUGGUUUAAAAAGUCCACUGUUAAAGAUUGAAGCUUAACUUCAAAAAUGCCGUGGAAACUUUUAAACUUGAGUAUGAUAGGGGUAGAGGGAAUUUCCAGUGGAGCGGUGAAAUGCGUAGAUAUUGGAAAGACCACCAAUGGCGAAGGCACUCUACUGGGCCAUUACUGACACUGAGAGACGAAAG